Candidatus Desantisbacteria bacterium CG1_02_38_46 is the source of this 184-nucleotide non-coding RNA. The record is from Rfam. NCBI's taxonomy places the organism in Bacteria, Candidatus Desantisiibacteriota.
CAAGUCCGACUUAGGUAAAGGUUAGCCACCAGCCUAACACUUAAUCUCACACUUUAUUUGGUAACAAAUAAAGUGGUGCGGGAAGCGGGAAAUAUCGAGCUAUAACGCAAGUGAAGGAAUUGAGCCCCGAAAUAACCAGCGUGUCAGUGGUCGAUACUCUUCAUUAAGGAGCAGACAAUAGUCU